RNAcentral lists this non-coding RNA (118 nucleotides) under Serratia sp. (in: enterobacteria). RNAcentral's name for it is "Serratia sp. Magnesium sequence". It matches the Rfam family "Magnesium riboswitch aptamer (Magnesium responsive RNA element)". Rfam says of the family: The Magnesium sensor RNA element is a cis-regulatory element that regulates the expression of the magnesium transporter protein MgtA. RNAcentral also lists the same sequence under 1 other name. The record is from RNAcentral. Lineage: Bacteria; Pseudomonadati; Pseudomonadota; Gammaproteobacteria; Enterobacterales; Yersiniaceae.
AUAACCGGAGAACCCCUAAUGGGACCAGACCCUAAUCCUCACCCGGAAAACAGAGUCAUCCACCGGUAAGCCAGCUUUUUUGCUGCCUUGCCGGUAACAGGCAAGGCAGUGACGUCUU